This 1329-nucleotide ribosomal RNA is filed under the name Papilio paris (Paris peacock swallowtail). Its description in RNAcentral is "16S ribosomal RNA". Lineage: Eukaryota; Metazoa; Arthropoda; Insecta; Lepidoptera; Papilionidae. The record is from RNAcentral.
AGGGGGAAAAAUUAAUAAUUAUUAUAUUAAUAAAAAAAUUUUUAAAAUAUAUUUUAAUGGGGGUUAAAGUAUAUAUAUAGAAAAAAUUUUUAAAUUUAUAGUAAAAUAGUAUUGUAAAAGAAUUUUGAAAUAGGGGAAAUUAAUUUAAGAAAAAGUAAUUUUAAUUUAUUGUAUCUUGUGUAUCAGAGUUUAUUAAUAAUAUUUUUUAAAUAAAAAUUUCUCGAAUUUAAAAGAGUUAAUUAAUUAUAAAAGUUAAUGUGGUAUAAUUAUUUUUAAUAAUUAAUUAGAAAUGAAAUGUUAAUCGUUUUUAAAAAUAUCUAGUUUUUUUAGAAAAAAAUUUAAUUUUAAAUAUUAUAAUUUAAAAAUUUUUAUUUAAUAAAAUUUUAAUAGUAUUAAUAUUAAAUAUUUUAAGGGAUAAGCUUUAAAAUAAAUUUUUAUAAUUAAAUUUAAAAUUGAUUAAAAUUUUAAAAUUUAAAUUGUUUAAUAAAUUAUAAUUUUUUAUAAAUAAUUUAAUUAUAAUUAAAAUUUAAUAGAAAAUUUAAAUUUUUAUAAAAAAAUAUAUUUUAAUAAAAUAAAGUUAAAUAUAAUGAUAAAAUUAGUAUAUAAAUUCAAAUAAAUAAAUAAAUUUAAUUAAAGUUAUUUAAAGGAAUUCGGCAAAAUUUAUAUUCACUUGUUUAUCAAAAACAUGUCUUUUUGGAAAUAAUUUAAAGUCUAAUCUGCCCACUGAUAAAUUAUUAAAGGGCUGCAGUAUUUUGACUGUACAAAGGUAGCAUAAUCAUUAGUCUCUUAAUUGGUGACUUGUAUGAAAGAUUGGAUGAAAUAUAUACUGUCUCUAAUUAAUUUAUAAAAUUUAAUUUUUUAGUAAAAAAGCUAAAAUAAGUUUAAAAGACGAGAAGACCCUAUAGAGUUUAAUAAUUUAUUUAAUUAUUAUUAAUAUUUAAAUUUUAAAAUUAAAAUUAAAUAAAUUAUUUUGUUGGGGCGAUAGAAAAAUUAAAUUAACUUUUUUUAUUUUUAAACAUAAAUUUAUGAAUAGAUGAUCCAUUAAUAAUGAUUAAAAGAAAAAAUUACCUUAGGGAUAACAGCGUAAUUUUUUUUUUUAGUUCAAAUAGGAAAAAAAGUUUGCGACCUCGAUGUUGGAUUAAGAUAAAAUUUAAAUGCAAAAGUUUAAAAUUUUGAUCUGUUCGAUCAUUAAAAUCUUACAUGAUCUGAGUUCAAACCGGUGUGAGCCAGGUUGGUUUCUAUCUUUAAAUAAAAAUAAUAUUUUAGUACGAAAGGAUCAAGUAUUAAAAAUAAUUUUAAUAAACUGAAUAUUAGUAAAUAAUUAGUUUA